Long non-coding RNA from Gorilla gorilla gorilla (western lowland gorilla), 1388 nucleotides. RefSeq lists it as uncharacterized. The record is from RefSeq and is a predicted model, not a curated record. NCBI's taxonomy places the organism in Eukaryota, Metazoa, Chordata, Mammalia, Primates, Hominidae. The transcript is spliced from 3 exons.
ACUUCCUCCAAAUGGUUCAUAACUGAUAGGAGGGGAUGGUUGCUAGUGUUAAGCAAGAUGGGACAAAGGAGUGGAGACUGAACUUCAAUCAGAUAAACCCAAUAUUUAAACUGUAAAGUCCUCGGCUAUGGAAGGUGACUGGAGAGCCAUUGAUCCCUGCAUUUUAUAGGAAAAGCAAGGGCCCAUUGGAACCUGUUGCUGUUGGCCCUCUUUACAAGGUGAAUUUAGACAUAUGAGCACUCCAGGAGGAGAUCUGAUUUGACAAACAUGUCUAGAAAGAGGAAAAGCAAGCACUGGCAUUAACUUGGCUUCCGCUGAGACUGGGCUCCAUUAGUGAACUAAAUGUUGGUAUUCUGGGAAAAGCCAGCUUGUUACUGGAAAUUUUAAUUCUUUGAAAAAAAUGGCAUUAGAUUUGCCUUUGGUUGUUGCAUUCCAAGAGCUCUUGCCUAUGAAACCAUUCUUGAUCAUAGAGUGCAGCAAGUCUACAAGAAUGUUCAAUUUACCUGCUACCAGUCAUCAUUUCUUGCCCUGGCAGACAUUGCUAAUCAAUCUGAUGCUGACUCAGCUCACAUUUAAACUAAGAUUUCCUGAGGUGAUUCUGUAUGCAACCACUACCAACUGAUGAGUGCUGACAUGAAUAUGAAACCUGUUUGAACUCCUUGUGCUUUUAUGGUGUGUACCUUACAAUGAACUCUGAUCUAUUCACUACCAUUGAGUUUUAGUGGCAUUUGAUAAUGUUGCACCUGAUUAUAUUGUUAUAGUAUCCUCUUUUUUGAUUCAAAUCUGUUAAAAAUUGUUUAUCUCCAAAACAUUUAAGUACCUAGGGCACUUGGACUGUGUUUUAUACUACUCUGUGACCUUCCCAAUGUCAAGAUGGGUACAGACUAGAUGCUCAAUAAAUAUUUGGGUGAUUAAUUACCUAAGGAAUUAGGAUUAAUCACCUAAAGGAUUCUUUGGUUGAUAAACCUAAGGAAUUCAAUAGAAUGGAAGUCUAGGAAAAACUUUGCUUGCAUGGAACUAUCAAAGUAAAGCUUUGGACUGUGAAUAAUUCAGUCAACCUGCAUGCCUCGAUUAUCUGCUCCGAGUUUGUGAAGACCAUUGCUGUUGUCCCCGAAGUGUAUUGAUAAGUUAACAUGAUCGUAACUCUCAAGAUGUUUAUGGUUCAGUACCAGGAGCAAGAGAGAUAAGUGUGAUCAUCAGAAUUGUACAAAUAUAAAAGUGGUGCAGAGGAGAAAGACUGAGAUGAAUGAAGUUGACAAGGAUAACAGGUUGAACACUCCAUAGUGGAAAGAGGCAGUGGGAUGGGAAAUUAUUCCAUAAAGCUUCCUUCAAAGAGUGUCAGCAAGAUGUAAUGCCAAUGGAAUAGAAAAAUCUUUAGAAUCACAGCG